AAUGAACGUUGGCGGCGUGGAUUAGGCAUGCAAGUCGAGCGAGAAGUGUAGCAAUACAUGGAAAGCGGCGAAAGGGACAGUAACACGUAGAUACCUACCCUUGGAUCUGGGAUAGCGGCGGGAAACUGCCAUUAAUACCGGAUAACGUCCCCGGACCAAAGGUUUCGGCCGUCCGAGGAGGGGUCUGCGUCCUAUUAGCUAGUUGGCGGGGUAAUGGCCCACCAAGGCUCAGAUGGGUAGCGGGUGUGAGAGCACGACCCGCGUCACUGGGACUGAGACACUGCCCAGACACCUACGGGAGGCUG
RNAcentral lists this ribosomal RNA (305 nucleotides) under uncultured Planctomycetota bacterium. Its description in RNAcentral is "bacterial SSU rRNA". It matches the Rfam family "Bacterial small subunit ribosomal RNA", at positions 29 to 351 of the family's 1533-position model. The record is from RNAcentral. Lineage: Bacteria; Pseudomonadati; Planctomycetota.